This 483-nucleotide ribosomal RNA is filed under the name uncultured bacterium. Its description in RNAcentral is "partial 16S ribosomal RNA". It matches the Rfam family "Bacterial small subunit ribosomal RNA", at positions 29 to 507 of the family's 1533-position model. The record is from RNAcentral.
UUGAACGCUGGCGGCAUGCUUUACACAUGCAAGUCGAACGGCAGCGCGGGCUUCGGCCUGGCGGCGAGUGGCGAACGGGUGAGUAAUACAUCGGAACGUGCCCAGUAGUGGGGGAUAGCUCGGCGAAAGCCGGAUUAAUACCGCAUACGACCUGAGGGUGAAAGCGGGGGAUCUUCGGACCUCGCGCUAUUGGAGCGGCCGAUGGCAGAUUAGCUAGUUGGUGGGGUAAAGGCCUACCAAGGCGACGAUCUGUAGCUGGUCUGAGAGGACGACCAGCCACACUGGGACUGAGACACGGCCCAAACUCCUACGGGAGGCAGCAGUGGGGAAUUUUGGACAAUGGGCGAAAGCCUGAUCCAGCAAUGCCGCGUGUGUGAUGAAGGCCUUCGGGUUGUAAAGCACUUUUGGCGGGAACGAAAAGGACUGUGCCAAUACCACGGUUCGAUGACGGUACCCGCAGAAUAAGCACCGGCUAACUACGUG